GAUGAACGCUGGCGGCGUGCCUAAUACAUGCAAGUCGAGCGAACGGACGAGAAGCUUGCUCCCCUGAUGUUAGCGGCGGACGGGUGAGUAACACGUGGAUAACCUACCUAUAAGACUGGGAUAACUUCGGGAAACCGGAGCUACUACCGGAUAAUAUUUUGAACCGCAUGGUUCAAAAGUGAAAGACGGUCUUGCUGUCGCUUAUAGAUGGAUCCGCGCUGCAUUAGUUAGUUGGUAAGGUAACGGCUUACCAAGGCAACGAUGCAUAGCCGACCUGAGAGGGAGGUCGGCCACCCUGGAUCUGAGACACGGUCCAGACUCCUACGGGAGGCAGCAGUAGGGAAUCUUCCGCGAUGGGCGAGAGCCUGACGGUGCAACGCCGCGUGAGUGAUGAAGGUCUUCGGAUCGUAAAGCUCUGUUAGUAGGGAAGAACAUAUGUGUAAGUAACUGUGCACAUCUUGACGGUACCGGAUCAGAAAGCCACGGCUAACUACGUG
This 497-nucleotide ribosomal RNA is filed under the name uncultured bacterium. RNAcentral describes it as "partial 16S ribosomal RNA". It matches the Rfam family "Bacterial small subunit ribosomal RNA", at positions 28 to 507 of the family's 1533-position model. The record is from RNAcentral.